CCCUUAGAUGUUCUGGGCCGCACGCGCGCUACACUGAUGCAUUCAACGAGUUUCUUCCUGGUCCGAGAGGAAUGGGUAACCUUUUGAAAGUGCAUCGUGAUAGGGAUAGACUAUUGCAAUUAUUGGUCUUCAACGAGGAAUUCCUAGUUGACGUAGUUCAUCAGACUGCAUCGAUUACGUCCCUGCCCUUUGUACACACCGCCCGUCGCUCCUACCGAUUGAAUGCUCAGGUGAGCCAUUCGGACUUUCAUCAUGCUGGUUUCCAGUUUUGAUGAAGGAAAGUCUUGCGAACCUUAUCAUUUAGAGGAAGGAGAAGUCGUAACA
RNAcentral lists this ribosomal RNA (324 nucleotides) under uncultured eukaryote. RNAcentral's name for it is "partial 18S ribosomal RNA". It matches the Rfam family "Eukaryotic small subunit ribosomal RNA", at positions 1470 to 1796 of the family's 1831-position model. The record is from RNAcentral.